This 223-nucleotide ribosomal RNA is filed under the name uncultured Burkholderiales bacterium. Its description in RNAcentral is "partial 16S ribosomal RNA". It matches the Rfam family "Bacterial small subunit ribosomal RNA", at positions 108 to 334 of the family's 1533-position model. Lineage: Bacteria; Pseudomonadati; Pseudomonadota; Betaproteobacteria; Burkholderiales. The record is from RNAcentral.
GAGUAAUAUAUCGGAACGUACCCUGGAGUGGGGGAUAACGUAGCGAAAGUUACGCUAAUACCGCAUACGAUCUAAGGAUGAAAGUGGGGGAUCGCAAGACCUCAUGCUCCUGGAGCGGCCGAUAUCUGAUUAGCUAGUUGGUGGGGUAAAGGCCUACCAAGGCAUCGAUCAGUAGCUGGUCUGAGAGGACGACCAGCCACACUGGAACUGAGACACGGUCCAG